CAAGAGCGUAUAUUAAAGUUGUUGCAGUUAAAAAGCUCGUAGUUGGAUUUCUGGUACAACGCGCCUGGCCCGCUUAUGUGAGUGCCGGUGCGCGUUUGCCAUCCUUCUAGAAAACGUUUCUACCCGGGCAACUGGGCCGGACUCGCGAUCUAGAUCUUUACUUUGAAAAAAUUAGAGUGUUUUAAAGCAGGCUUUUGCUGUGAAUACAUUAGCAUGGAAUAAUAAUCUAGGACUUCGGUUCUAUUUUGUCGGUUUCUAGUACUGAAGUAAUGAUUGAUAGGGAUAGUUGGGGGCAUUCAUAUUCCAUUGUCAGAGGUGAAAUUCUUGGAUUAACGGAAGAUGAACUUCUGCGAAAGCAUCUGCCAAGGAUGUUUUCAUUGAUCAAGAACGAAAGUUAGGGGAUCGAAGAUGAUCAGAU
RNAcentral lists this ribosomal RNA (418 nucleotides) under uncultured eukaryote. Its description in RNAcentral is "bacterial SSU rRNA". It matches the Rfam family "Eukaryotic small subunit ribosomal RNA", at positions 592 to 1013 of the family's 1831-position model. The record is from RNAcentral.